Molecule: ribosomal RNA, 433 nt
Filed under: grassland soil clone saf3_021
Lineage: Bacteria
Description: bacterial SSU rRNA
Rfam family: Bacterial small subunit ribosomal RNA
Source: RNAcentral
AACACAUGCAAGUCGAGCGGAAAGGCCCUUUCGGGGUACUCGAGCGGCGAACGGGUGAGUAACACGUGAGUAAUCUGCCCCUCACUUUGGGAUAGCCACCGGAAACGGUGAUUAAUACCGGAUAUGACGCGGCCUCGCAUGGGGUUGUGUGGAAAGUUUUUCGGUGAGGGAUGUGCUCGCGGCCUAUCAGCUUGAUGGUGAGGUAAUGGCUCACCAUGGCUUCGACGGGUAGCCGGCCUGAGAGGGUGACCGGUCACACUGGGACUGAGACACGGCCCAGACUCCUACGGGAGGCAGCAGUGGGGAAUAUUGGACAAUGGGCGGAAGCCUGAUCCAGCAACGCCGCGUGAGGGAUGACGGCCUUCGGGUUGUAAACCUCUUUCGGUGGGGACGAAGCGAAAGUGACGGUACCCACUAAAGAAGCACCGGCCAA